Molecule: non-coding RNA, 120 nt
Organism: Salvelinus sp. IW2-2015
Lineage: Eukaryota; Metazoa; Chordata; Actinopteri; Salmoniformes; Salmonidae
Source: RefSeq, a predicted model, not a curated record
UCCCCCAGGUCUUCCUUGUCAGGUGGAGCUGUGACCCAGGUCUUCCUUGUUCAGGUGGAGCUGUGACCCAGGUCUUCCUUGUCAGGUGGAGCUGUGACCCAGGUCUUCCUUGUCAGGUGG